CCUACGGGAGGCUGCAGUAGGGACUCUUCCACAAUGGACGAAAGUCUGCUGGAGCAACGCCGCGUGAGUGAAGAAGGGUUUCGGCUCGUAAAGCUUCGUUGGUAGUGAAGAAAGAUAGAGGUAGGAACUGGCCUUUAUUUUACGGUAAUUACUUAGAUAGUCACGGCUAACUACGGGCCAGCAGCCGCGGUAAUACGUAGGUGGCAAGCGUUGUCCGGAUGUAUUGGGCGUAAAGGGAGUGCAGGCGGUUCAAUAAGUCUGAUGUGAAAGCCUUCGGCUCAACCGGAGAAUUGCAUCAGAAACUGUUGAAUGUGAGUGAAGAAGAGGAGAGUGGAACUCCAAGGGUAGCGGUGGAAUGCGUAGAUAUAUGGAAGAACACCAGUGGCGAAGGCGGCUCUCUGGUCUGCAACUGACGCUGAGGCUCGAAAGCAUGGGUAGCGAACAGGAUUAGAUACCCGGGUAGUC
RNAcentral lists this ribosomal RNA (465 nucleotides) under uncultured bacterium. Its description in RNAcentral is "partial 16S ribosomal RNA". It matches the Rfam family "Bacterial small subunit ribosomal RNA", at positions 338 to 795 of the family's 1533-position model. The record is from RNAcentral.